Molecule: long non-coding RNA, 463 nt
Organism: Ornithorhynchus anatinus (platypus)
Lineage: Eukaryota; Metazoa; Chordata; Mammalia; Monotremata; Ornithorhynchidae
Exons: 2
Source: RefSeq, a predicted model, not a curated record
AAUUCCACUGAAUUGACACAGUUGUAACUAAGUCAACUGCUUUACCCUUUAGUGGAACGAGCACCUUGAACCCUUUCCCUUGACACUCAUCAGGUCCAUAGAGCUGGAUGGAGGCUGGUGGGAAGCAGUCCUGUCAAGGAGCCAUCUGCAGUUUUAAAUCACCUCUAUGCCAGGCUCUCACCAGCUGCUGCUACAGCCUGUCUCAGACUCCUUCCAGUUCUCAGCUAGCAAGAGGCUAAAGCAGUGAUGUUGUCCUGAGGACUGAUUGCUAUGCCCAGAUGAUCUGCUGGAGUUGGCGGCUUGAUCCAAUAUGCAGCAUAAUUGAAGAGGAUGAGGAACAGAAUCCAUCCUUGUUUCACCCCAGUAACUACGCCAAAUUCAACAGAGAGCUCUCCAUAUGGUCUAACACAAGUUAGGUAAUGUGUAUAUUAUGCCAUAAUAAAUGAAGUCUCAUAGGUUUCAA